RNAcentral lists this ribosomal RNA (460 nucleotides) under uncultured bacterium. RNAcentral describes it as "partial 16S ribosomal RNA". It matches the Rfam family "Bacterial small subunit ribosomal RNA", at positions 338 to 795 of the family's 1533-position model. The record is from RNAcentral.
CCUACGGGGGGCAGCAGUGAGGAAUAUUGGUCAAUGGGCUUACGCCUGAACCAGCCAAGUCGCGUGAGGGAAGACUGCCCUAUGGGUUGUAAACCUCUUUUGUCAGGGAGCAACGCCGGCUACGUGUAGCCGGACUGAGAGUACCUGAAGUAAAAGCAUCGGCUAACUCCGUGCCAGCAGCCGCGGUAAUACGGAGGAUGCGAGCUUUAUCCGGAUUUAUUGGGUUAAAAGGGUGCGUAGGCGGAAUGCAAAGUCAGCGGGAAAAUCGCGGGGCGCAACCACGCUCCGCCGUUGAAACUGGCGUUCUUGAGUGGGCGAGAAGUAUGCGGAAUGCGUGGUGUAGCGGUGAAAUGCAUAGAUAUCACGAAGAACUCCGAUUGCGAAGGCAGCAUACCGGCGCCCAACUGACGCUGAAGCACGAAAGCGUGGGUAUCGAACAGGAUUAGAUACCCCGGUAGUC